UUUCUCUCUGUCUCUCUCGGCAGCCGAACCUAAAACCUCUCUUUCGCUCUCUCUCCGUGCCCGGCCGUCACCAGCUUCGUUCAAUUCAAUAAUUGAAUUCCAAGAGCAGUAAUGAUAAAGAGGCAAUUCUACAAGCUAGAACAUGCCAAUAGAGAUGAGGCCUCAGAUUCAUCUUCGUCCUCGGACUCCGAAUUAGAAGCAGAAGCCAUAGAAGAAUCAGAGGAUAAUGCAGUUGCAGAAGUGAAAGGGGAUAAUGAAUCUUGCUCUACCUCAUCUGGAUAUAAGAGUGAGGAUAGCUCAGCAAAUGAGGUUGAUCUUGACUCUUCAGGUCUACCCAUAAGCGAUGAUAAUGCUGAAACUGGAAAUGAAAGAGAAAUCCUUACUGACAGUCAGCUGUCUGGUCAACGUGGUUCCAAAACACUUGAGACACAGUCCAAUAUCGAAGCUGAAAAGGAAUCAUUACCUGCAGAUAUUCCAGACUGUAUAUUAAAAUGCAAAUCAGUUUUUAAGUGCAGGAUGUGCCCUAGAAUUAUCUGUUUGAAUGAGGAAACUCUAAGGGAUCAUCUCAAGUCCAAGAGACAUGCUCGAUCUGAGAAAUUACUGAAUGAAGGUAGGCUGAAGGCCAUGCUCAACAGUGAUGGGGAAAUUGAGAACCAAGAAACUGCUGCUGAGAUGAAUGCUCGAAUUUUAGCUCUUCCACUGGGUAAUAAAAAAAGGAAAAACAGAAAAAGACAUGGAGAACAAAAGAGAAAAACAAAGAAGAAAUUGGGAUCUGCUGAUAACAUUGGAAAAGCAAAGGGAUCGACAAAAAGCCCAGCUGAGAAAAGGCGUAAAAAUGAGAACUGAAGAACGUUAUGUUGUUUUUGCCAUACUGCUAGUGGCAAAAUGGCUGCAAGAAAUGAAUCAAAGGAUUUUACCAUUUCUGCAGAGCUACUAACAUUUGGGCAUCCUGUCAGGAUGAGUGCAAUUUGGACAAAUAGGAUGUGGGAUGGCGUGUGCGCGGCGGAGAUGGAUGGGUGACGAUAGAUUUAUCUCAACUUUUCACAAAUCAUGCAGAAUACCGUGAUGUGCUACGUCUGCUGAUGUUUACAAUUGCACAUUACAAUGCUGCAAACAUUCACGACGAAGUAAAAAAUUGCUUCUCCCGACAGCCUUCGUUUGGGUUUAUAAAGCAAAACAAAUGUCCCAGAAGAGCGUGUCAAGGCAAGGUGAAAGACAAACUCUCUCAUUCGAUGCAAUGUAACUUUAGUCAAAGCAAUUGUAUAACAUUUUAGUAAUAUUGCUGAGCUUGUGUGGCCCUCAAAUGGGUCUUGUUAGUUGGUUUAAAAUCUGCAGUGGGAUUCUAAUCAUGAGUAGCAGCUAUUCAGCUAUCGCGGAAAUCAGACUCGCUCGACAAUACCCCUUGAUUUACUCUUACCAAAGUUUGAAUAGAAAGGAGAUAAAUUAUCUCU
This is an RNA transcript of Corylus avellana, 1451 nucleotides long. It is a transcript of the gene named stress response protein, with no coding region annotated. The record is from RefSeq and is a predicted model, not a curated record. Lineage: Eukaryota; Viridiplantae; Streptophyta; Magnoliopsida; Fagales; Betulaceae.